RNAcentral lists this non-coding RNA (190 nucleotides) under Candidatus Faecivivens stercoravium. RNAcentral's name for it is "6S RNA". It matches the Rfam family "6S / SsrS RNA". Rfam says of the family: E. coli 6S RNA was the first non coding RNA to be sequenced, but its function was unknown until recently. It consists of 184 nucleotides that fold into an extended hairpin structure with a large single-stranded internal bulge. The 6S RNA specifically associates with RNA polymerase holoenzyme containing the sigma70 specificity factor. Lineage: Bacteria; Bacillati; Bacillota; Clostridia; Eubacteriales; Oscillospiraceae. The record is from RNAcentral.
AACAUUCUGCCUUGUGCGAGUAAUUAUGGAGUUUUAAAUCCGAACACAUUUAAAACGGGAGCCUUCCUCCGCUGUCAGGAUUGCAGACCUCCCGGGGCAACCCGGAAGAAGGGAGCGUGAGCGCUGCGGGGUGGCACCCACCUGCUGAGAAGCGGGUUUAUAUCCCAUAUGACGGCAAGGCGGGUCACUU